Molecule: long non-coding RNA, 3477 nt
Organism: Triticum aestivum (bread wheat)
Lineage: Eukaryota; Viridiplantae; Streptophyta; Magnoliopsida; Poales; Poaceae
Exons: 2
Source: RefSeq, a predicted model, not a curated record
CUCGCGAUCUUUACAUAUCGUUUUUUCCAGGGGCAGCCAUGGCAGGGAGGGGAGGCGAUGCUGCGCUCCGGCGGCGGCGCCGCAUCAGGCGGCUGCAGGGAGGUGGGAGCCGCACGCGGAGACGGAGGGGGAUAUAAUGAAGAGGCAUGGAUGAGAGGCGGGCGAGCGGGAAGGGCCGGGGCAUCGCCCAUGAUGCAGGCGAGCGGGAAGGGCGGCGGCCUUGCGGUGGCGCAGUCGGCGAGGCCCUGUCGGAUCUUGCCGGGUCCGGUCAGAAACGGCGCGCAGGCGGUGGAUCUGCAAGGAAGGCGGCCGGAGCUUGGAGCACAACGGCUGGCGCGUGCGGCAUGGCCGGUGUCGGGUACCCGUCAGAGAAGAGAGAGAUGCGCGGGAGAUAAAAGAGAGGAUGGGAGGCCGGAGGAAGAGAGAAGGGAGUGGUAGUCAUGCUGCUGCUCGCCGGUGGCUAGCCGGAAUUGCAGCCCCGCGCAUCACGUGGUGACAAGGCCCAGGUCUUCUUGACCCGUUGCCUCAUUCUUUCUCAGUAGAACAUUAUUUUUCGUUGGUCUUGCAGAUGUAUUCAUGUGUAGUUUUUAGAUCUUGCAAAUUAGGGAUUUUGGUAAUAUGCGCUGAUCUCUUUAUGUGUUGAGUGGCCAGCCUGCAGUUCCCCCGCUCAUAUUCGAACAGGCACAAAUUCAGCUCUGAUCGAUCUCUGCAUCCAUCUGGAAACUGAAGUACUAUCAUGGUAAAAAUCUAGGCUGGAUUGCUAGCUUCCUCCAAGGGCAAGAUCGCCGCCACUGCCAGCACUAAGAAAACAACUGGCGAUGGCAAGGCGGCCAAGGUCUUCUCCCAAACCGGCCAGAAGUUUGAAACACCAGAGGAGGUAGUAAUUCAAUCAUCUUACAUUCAUCUGUGCUGACAACCUUUUGGUACAUCGUGGUAGUGUUAUUUUUAUAAAGAGUUAUUUUAAAACCGAAGGGGAGCCUUGGCGCAGUGGUAAAGCUGCUGCCUUGUGACCAUGAGGUCAUGGGUUCAAGUCCUGGAAACAGCCUCUUACAGAAAUGUAGGGAAAGGCUGCGUACUAUAGACCCAAAGUGGUCGGACCCUUCCCUGGACCCUGCGCAAGCGGGAGCUACAUGCACCAGGUUGCCCUUCCUUCUUAUUUUAAAACCCUUGAUACUCUUCGCAGAUCGAGCGGCAAGACACGGGGCCUCAACAUGCAUGGGUUGUCUUUUGUUGAGUCAUACUUGAAUUUGCCUCCACAAAAGUCACACGUGAAUUAUGAAGUUAACUACCAUGAUGUCUAGGUACUUAUUGCUGCCGCUGCUCACAGGUUAUUUUGAUGGUGUUUUUCGCUGAGCGUCUUGCAUGGCCAAUCCUUCCAAAUUUCAAUAUAUGCAUUCAUGUUUCUCUUAACUUCUAACUUCUAAGGCACCAAGACUGGACAUUCCUAUGGCGACUCUCCCAUUUAUGGUCAAUAAAGUUGUUCAUAUGUGUUUUUUUAGUGCUCCCCUAAAUAUCUAAAGAAAAAUUGUUUUUAUCAUCGGCUAUACCAGAUAAUUCAAAUAGUCCCUAAUCUUGCACAUGCCUUUUUUGUUUAAGUUUGUCUUUUGUAUGAGAUAAUUUGGAGAAAUUUAUGUUGUUUCUGGUGGCAAAGAGCAACAUGAACUAUUGUUGCAAGUCCACCAUAUUUUCUCAAAUUUUAUAAGCUAUUCAUUGGCAUGUAUUUUAUUAGUUUUAUUAGUGCUUCCAUUACUUUCUAUUAAAAUAUGCUUAAUGGGCUAGAGACUGUACCUUUUCAAAAAGUUACAGUGUGUGGUAUGUUUGCUGAAGUUGUGAUGGCAGUUCUUCAGGCAGGACCUUCGUCCAUAUAGAUUUUCUCUUUAAACAUCAUUAUAUUUUGGACAAAUGAUGUGCUUACUGAAUUGUCGUUGUUUAUUUUUUGAAGUUAUGCCAUUCAUAAUAUUGCAUUGUAGAUAGACAAAAAGAUAUAGGUAUUGAUUUUUGUGGCUCUAGCAUAAAUGUUUAUCACCACGGUGACAUUUCUUGUUCAAUUUAGAUAAGGGAAAAAACAAGUAUUAAACAGAAAGUAGAGAGGAUAAGAGCAUUGUAGUCCAGGGUGGUUCAUGCCAAAGACUGUAACAAAAUAAUUUCUUAUGAUAGUGCAAAUCAUUGAUGAUGCAGCAGAAGUAACACAAGUUCUGCUAGAAUUUCUCUCAGAUAACAUGGAUAGAGGUGAGUUUUGCAUAAUCCAUCUAUGUAAGAAGCUUGCAUUGAGUAAUUCUUUUCAAGAAGCUUACCAUGCAUAACUACAUGAUACUUGCAGAUCUUAGUGUCAAUUGACAGCGACAUUCUUCAAUGGGAAACCCUGCAUAUAAUUGUCUUGAGUACAGCAAUACAUGAUUUUGUGGCAAUAAAAUGGUCAUGAUUAAUGCAUAAUGUGUGCUCUGUCCGCAUUUUAAUUAUUUAUAUUAAUAUUUCUGGUUAUCACUGCAGGAGUUGCAAUGGAGUUGAUGAGGUAAGUCUGCAAUGCAGACUGCUAAAUGGUAACCACUCCAGAUUUUAUGGACAGUAAAUGGUCCACUGCUAUUGACAGGUGCGUUCCUGCACUCUUCUGACCCAGAUUUGGCAUGAUUUCCAUUUUUUACAAUCAUUGUGUAGUUGCACAAAAAUGAAUACUACUUGGAAAUACGUAAGAGCAUUGCUCAAAACUCACAAACAGACACAACUUUGAAUCAACGAUUUUAUUUAGACAAUGAAACAGUGUUUUUCGACUGAAAAAUCUGUAGUAUAUUUUGAAUUUUAAAUGUAUACACCAAGAAAACAUAGUUCUCUUCAAUUGAAAUUUAAAUUCAUGUUUUGGAAAUCAAAACCAUCUGAAAUUUCAUGAGUUCCGGCUAGAAUGAUUAAUGCUACACCGCUGCUAAUGCCAAAGGUUGUGGCACCUUUGUUUAAUGAUAGUGCAAAUUGAUUGGUCAUGCAGCCAUUGCAACGCAAGUAGUACAAGUUCAUCAUGUGCACCGCCCAUCCAUGAAUUCUUUUUAUCAUUGUUUCUCCCUUCGCAAUGCACGGGCACAUAGUAGGAGAGAUAUGUGUGGUUGGUGGGUGCUAAAUGGUCGUCCCCUCGAAGACAUGGACAAGGUGCGUGUGGUUCACAAUGCGACCUCAUGUCUUACCACGUCAACCAGCCGAUGCUCAUCAUCAGACAUGCUCUUCUCCUAGACGUCAUUGGGAAGAAGCCCAUCUCUUUUGAUCCAUUUGUGCCCUUCACUAAUGCACGUGGAGUCGGACUGAGAGUUUCUCAGGGGUGUGACACAAACUACUUGAGUUUAAACUAAUUUUCGUAUCUACUAAAAUUUUCUUUAAAAAAUUUAAAGUAUGCUACUGCUUAUUUUUUUAUUGUUCAGGUAGAUUCUAGCACGAGUGUUUACCUUUAUUCUGCAUGUAAUGAGAAUGUUGUGGCUAAUAGGUUUAAAAUUGUCA